RNAcentral lists this unclassified non-coding RNA (329 nucleotides) under soil metagenome. RNAcentral's name for it is "partial contains 5.8S ribosomal RNA, internal transcribed spacer 2, and large subunit ribosomal RNA". The stretch from base 1 to 120 matches the Rfam family "5.8S ribosomal RNA", at positions 35 to 154 of the family's 154-position model. The record is from RNAcentral.
GAUGAAGAACGUAGCGAAAUGCGAUAAGUAAUGUGAAUUGCAGAAUUCAGUGAAUCAUCGAAUCUUUGAACGCACAUUGCGCCCCUUGGUAUUCCGAGGGGCAUGCCUGUUCGAGCGUCAUUAUAACCCCUCAAGCUCAGCUUGGUGUUGGGGCCUGCUGCACUGGCAGCCCUUAAAAUCAGUGGCGGCGCCAUCUGGCUCUAAGCGUAGUAAUUCUUCUCGCUAUGGAGUCCUGGUGGAUGCUUGCCAUCAACCCCCAAUUUUUCUAUGGUUCACCUCGGAUCAGGUAGGGAUACCCGCUGAACUUAAGCAUAUCAAUAAGCGGAGGA